This 69-nucleotide transfer RNA is filed under the name Ictidomys tridecemlineatus (thirteen-lined ground squirrel). Its description in RNAcentral is "Spermophilus tridecemlineatus (thirteen-lined ground squirrel) tRNA". It matches the Rfam family "tRNA". From Rfam's summary of the family: Transfer RNA (tRNA) molecules are approximately 80 nucleotides in length. Their secondary structure includes four short double-helical elements and three loops (D, anti-codon, and T loops). Lineage: Eukaryota; Metazoa; Chordata; Mammalia; Rodentia; Sciuridae. The record is from Rfam by way of RNAcentral.
GGGGUUGUAGCUUAGUGGUAAAGUGCUUGCCUGGCACGUGGGAGGCCCUGGGUUCGAUCCUCAGCACCA